Cylas formicarius (sweet potato weevil) is the source of this 1804-nucleotide long non-coding RNA. RefSeq lists it as uncharacterized. The record is from RefSeq and is a predicted model, not a curated record. The transcript is spliced from 3 exons. NCBI's taxonomy places the organism in Eukaryota, Metazoa, Arthropoda, Insecta, Coleoptera, Brentidae.
CGGACCAGACAUGUUGACGGUUUUUACGACAGCGCAACAAGUAUCUGAGAACAACACGAUUCAAUUCACAUGAAAAUUUUAUUGGAUGGCACUGAACUCAUAAACUUCUUCGUUUUGCUCGAAUUCCGGCACGAGAUCCUCUAUAAAUGUUUUUAGCACGUGCCCAGGAACAAUAAUUCAAGAAUCGACCAAGUCUCGGACACGAAAAAAGGAAAAUAAACAGAUCAUGGCCGCCAAUAUUUACAAUGGACUAAGCAUUAUGGUUUUUGAACGUGCCGAGAAUGAUGGACCGUACGAACGGGACGUGUCACGGUAAAUCUUCGCAGGACAAAACUUGAGAAAAACAAAACACGCACGGAUUCCUUAACGGCUGGCCAUAUUGCGAAUUCCGAACGCGACGUUUUCCACCAACGGUCUCUCCCGUAAAACACGCCAAAUGAAGAUAAUUGAAAAACUAUUAUUAAAAUCCGUUCAUUUCUUUCGUUAACUGACAUAUGUGUACAUCUUUUUUAAACCUCACAGUCACCAUUAAGAAAAGCAUUUUCCUCCUCCAUGGCGUUUGACUCCCAAAAUAAUUUUGGAAAAUAUCAGUAAUAAAAAGUGUCGUUCGCUUCAAAUAAAUUAAAUUAGUAACAAUAAUUAUAAGUUGUACACCCUCAACAGAAAAUUCGAGAUUAGGAACAAACCAGAGAUUUUCAUUAUGUCAUGAAACUAAAAUUCUUAGUGAAAGAAACCAUCAAACCAUCAAACCAUCAAAACGUUAUAUUUGCAUUUAAAAAAUUCACUUUACAUUAAUAAUUAUUUUACUUUAUGGGUUUAGUAGUUCCUAAAAUGUGUUUACUCGCAGGAUAUUUAUUUGUUAUAAAGCAUUCACAAUUUGACAUAUUGAGAAUAUCUAGUCAGCUAUCUUCCAGGGUAACUUAUUAUUUAAUUACUGAGUGAAUUUCCGGAUUAUUUUCUAUUUUACAACUCGCUGCUGACGACGAAAAUUUUAACAAGAACUAACAAUAAGCAAUUUAUGCAACAACGAAGUCUUUUUAAAUUUUGCUCACCCUGUAACUCCCUUGUUUUUGUUAUUCACUUUUCCAAUGCCCAAGUAUGCCCGGCCGUCUUCAGGAGACUACUGAAUACUCGAUAGUCUUCAGGUGAAUACGAGAUAUUUGACCAGUUGAAACAUGGUAAAAAAGUUAAUAAUAAAGUCAACGGAAGUUCAAAAUAUCACUUUUCUUCAGCAUUUUAUAUACCCGUCAAACAAACCAUCAAAAUCUAGAUCAAAAUAAUGGUUCCCACAACUUCUCAUUGGCAACCAUUCUAUUCGUCUGCAAUAAUGAUGUAAGAUUUACUUUUUAACCACAUCGAACUAUUGGACGAAAACGUUUGGGGUUGGCUUUGAAGCCGGAGAGCAAAUAAACGAAAAAUGUCAUUAGGCCGGUGGCGGUUCAAUUAGAUUAGGUCAGGCUGUCACGUCAGAAAAUUUGUUACUAAGGCCUCCUUUUCUCCUCUUAAAUGCGAUACUCCAAUACAUUUAAAACGACAAAUGCACGGGGACGAGGAGGAGGAGGAGAAGGAGGAGGUGGGGGAGAAAAAAGACCGUCUCUGAUAACAAACAAGAUUAAUGACUGAAACCGUAUUUUUUUCUCUUCCUAAAUAUAUCGAAUCCGGAAACUUAAUAAAGUAAACUUGGCUUUUGUUUGACUCCCUAAAAAAUGAACGUUGGAUAUAUUUGAUGCAUCGUAGUCGGCUUGUAAACAAGAUGAAAUUACGUUCCUACCAAGAGAAGCUAAAAAAUCUCACGAAACUUAAU